AUUGAACGCUGGCGGCAUGCCUUACACAUGCAAGUCGUACGGUAACAGGUCUUCGGAUGCUGACGAGUGGCGAACGGGUGAGUAAUACAUCGGAACGUGCCUAGUAGUGGGGGAUAACUACUCGAAAGAGUGGCUAAUACCGCAUGAGAUCUACGGAUGAAAGCAGGGGAUCGCAAGACCUUGUGCUACUAGAGCGGCCGAUGGCAGAUUAGGUAGUUGGUGGGAUAAAAGCUUACCAAGCCGACGAUCUGUAGCUGGUCGGAGAGGACGAUCAGCCACACUGGGACUGAGACACGGCCCAGACUCCUACGGGAGGCAGCAGUGGGGAAUUUUGGACAAUGGGCGAAAGCCUGAUCCAGCAAUGCCGCGUGCAGGAUGAAGGCCUUCGGGUUGUAAACUGCUUUUGUACGGAACGAAAAGCCCCGGGUUAAUACCCUGGGGUCAUGACGGUACCGUAAGAAUAAGCACCGGCUAACUACGUGCCAGCCGCCGCAGUAA
This 498-nucleotide ribosomal RNA is filed under the name uncultured bacterium. RNAcentral describes it as "partial 16S ribosomal RNA". It matches the Rfam family "Bacterial small subunit ribosomal RNA", at positions 30 to 523 of the family's 1533-position model. The record is from RNAcentral.